CAUGGCUCAGGAUGAACGCUAGCUACAGGCUUAACACAUGCAAGUCGCGGGGCAGCAUGGGGGUUGCUUGCAACCCCCGAUGGCGACCGGCGCACGGGUGAGUAACGCGUAUCCAACCUGCCCUUCACCACGGGAUAACCCGGCGAAAGUCGGACUAAUACCGUAUGUUGUCCAUUGACGGCAUCCGAUUUGGACGAAAGGCUUUGCGGUGAAGGAUGGGGAUGCGUCCGAUUAGCUUGACGGCGGGGUAACGGCCCACCGUGGCUACGAUCGGUAGGGGUUCUGAGAGGAAGGUCCCCCACACUGGAACUGAGACACGGUCCAGACUCCUACGG
RNAcentral lists this ribosomal RNA (335 nucleotides) under uncultured bacterium. Its description in RNAcentral is "bacterial SSU rRNA". It matches the Rfam family "Bacterial small subunit ribosomal RNA", at positions 18 to 344 of the family's 1533-position model. The record is from RNAcentral.